ACUCCUACGGGAGGCAGCAGUAGGGAAUCUUCCACAAUGGACGCAAGUCUGAUGGAGCAACGCCGCGUGAGUGAAGAAGGGUUUCGGCUCGUAAAGCUCUGUUGUUAAAGAAGAACGUGGGUGAGAGUAACUGUUCACCCAGUGACGGUAUUUAACCAGAAAGCCACGGCUAACUACGUGCCAGCAGCCGCGGUAAUACGUAGGUGGCAAGCGUUAUCCGGAUUUAUUGGGGCGUAAAGCGAGCGCAGGCGGUCUUUUAAGUCUAAUGUGAAAGCCUUCGGCUCAACCGAAGAAGUGCAUUGGAAACUGGGAGACUUGAGUGCAGAAGAGGACAGUGGAACUCCAUGUGUAGCGGUGAAAUGCGUAGAUAUAUGGAAGAACACCAGUGGCGAAGGCGGCUGUCUGGUCUGUAACUGACGCUGAGGCUCGAAAGCAUGGGUAGCGAACAGGAUUAGAUACCCUGGUAGGAUAGCG
Molecule: ribosomal RNA, 474 nt
Filed under: uncultured bacterium
Lineage: Bacteria
Description: bacterial SSU rRNA
Rfam family: Bacterial small subunit ribosomal RNA
Source: RNAcentral